This 253-nucleotide ribosomal RNA is filed under the name uncultured bacterium. RNAcentral describes it as "partial 16S ribosomal RNA". It matches the Rfam family "Bacterial small subunit ribosomal RNA", at positions 524 to 776 of the family's 1533-position model. The record is from RNAcentral.
UACGUAGGGUGCAAGCGUUAAUCGGAAUUACUGGGCGUAAAGCGUGCGCAGGCGGUUCGUUGUGUCGGCGGUGAAAGCCCCGGGCUUAACCUGGGAAUGGCCGUCGAAACUGGCGAACUGGAGUGUGGCAGGGGGGGGUGGAAUUCCGCGUGUAGCAGUGAAAUGCGUAGAGAUGCGGAGGAACACCGAUGGCGAAGGCAGCCCCCUGGGCUGACACUGACGCUCAGGCACGAAAGCGUGGGGAGCGAACAGG